UGAAGGGGAGGUGGGAAGCACAGUAUC
Molecule: non-coding RNA, 27 nt
Filed under: Homo sapiens (human)
Lineage: Eukaryota; Metazoa; Chordata; Mammalia; Primates; Hominidae
Source: RNAcentral